GACAGAGGGUGCAAACGUUGUUCGGAAUUACUGGGCGUAAAGCGAGUGUAGGCGGUUCGAUAAGUCGGAUGUGAAAGCCCCGGGCUCAACCCGGGAAGUGCACUCGAUACUGUCGAGCUAGAGUAUCGGAGAGGUUGGUGGAAUUCUCGGUGUAGAGGUGAAAUUCGUAGAUAUCGAGAAGAACACCGGUGGCGAAGGCGGCCAACUGGACGAAUACUGACGCUGAGACUCGAAAGCGUGGGGAGCAAACAGG
This 253-nucleotide ribosomal RNA is filed under the name uncultured bacterium. RNAcentral describes it as "partial 16S ribosomal RNA". It matches the Rfam family "Bacterial small subunit ribosomal RNA", at positions 524 to 776 of the family's 1533-position model. The record is from RNAcentral.